Molecule: ribosomal RNA, 1328 nt
Filed under: uncultured bacterium
Lineage: Bacteria
Description: partial 16S ribosomal RNA
Rfam family: Bacterial small subunit ribosomal RNA
Source: RNAcentral
AGUGAACGCUGGCGGCGUGCUUAACACAUGCAAGUCGAACGAGAACGGUACUAGCUUGCUAGUAUGUCAGCUAAGUGGCGGACGGGUGAGUAAUGUAUAGUUAAUCUGCCCUUUAGAGGGGGAUAACCACUGGAAACGGUGAUUAAUACCCCAUACUCCUUCUACCUUAAUGGUAGUUGGGAAAUGUUUUUUCGCUAAAGGAUGAGACUAUAUGGUAUCAGGUAGUUGGUGGGGUAAGAGCCUACCAAGCCAAUGACGCCUAGCUGGUCUGAGAGGAUGAUCGGCCAGACUGGGACUGAGACACGGCCCAGACUCCUACGGGAGGCAGCAGUAGGGAAUUUUCCACAAUGGACGAAAGUCUGAUGGAGCAACGCCGCGUGCAGGAUGAAGGCUUUCGGGUCGUAAACUGCUUUUAUGAGUGAUGAAUUAAGACAGUAACUCAAGAAUAAGGGUCGGCUAACUACGUGCCAGCAGCCGCGGUCAUACGUAGGACCCAAGCGUUAUCCGGAAUUACUGGGCGUAAAGAGUUGUGUAGGCGGCUUAUUAAGCAAGGUGUGAAAUCGUAUGGCUCAACCAUAUACACAUACUUUGAACUGAUGAGCUAGAGGGCGAGAGAGGUUAUUGGAAUUUCUAGUGUAGGAGUGAAAUCCGUAGAUAUUAGAAGGAACACCGAUGGCGUAGGCAGAUAACUGACUCGCACCUGACGCUCAGACACGAAAGCGUGGGUAGCAAGCGGGAUUAGAUACCCCGGUAGUCCACGCCGUAAACUAUGGAUGCUAGCUGUUAGUCGUAUCGACCCGAUUAGUAGCGAAGCUAACGCGUUAAGCAUCCCGCCUGUGGAGUACGAGCGCAAGCUUAAAACAUAAAGGAAUUGACGGGGACCCGCACAAGCGGUGGAGCGUGUUGUUUAAUUCGAUGAUAAGCGAAGAACCUUACCCAGGUUUGACAUCCUGCGAAGGACUACGAAAGUAGACCGUGCCUUUUGGAAUGCAGUGACAGGUGAUGCAUGGCCGUCGUCAGCUCGUGUCGUGAGAUGUUUGGUUAAGUCCAUCAACGAGCGCAACCCUUAUAGUUAGUUGUAUUUUUCUAGCUAGACUGCCCUGGCAACAGGGAGGAAGGAGGGGAUGAUGUCAGGUCCGUAUCUCCCUUAUAUCUGGGGCUACAAACACGCUACAAUGGCCGGUACAAAGGGAAGCCAACCCGCGAGGGGGAGCAAAUCCCAUCAAAGCCGGUCUCAGUUCGGAUUGCAGGCUGAAACUCGCCUGCAUGAAGCUGGAAUCGCUAGUAACGGUAAGUCAGCACAUUACCGUGAAUACGUUCCCGGGUCU